This 468-nucleotide ribosomal RNA is filed under the name uncultured bacterium. Its description in RNAcentral is "partial 16S ribosomal RNA". It matches the Rfam family "Bacterial small subunit ribosomal RNA", at positions 28 to 507 of the family's 1533-position model. The record is from RNAcentral.
GACGAACGCUGGCGGCGGGCUUAACACAUGCAAGUCGAGCGGAAAGGCCCUGCUUUUGUGUGGUGCUCGCGUGGCGAACGGGUGAGUAACACGUGAGUAACCUGCCCUUGGCUGUGGGAUAACUUCAGGCAACUGGUGCUAAUACCGGAUAGGAGCUCCUGCUGCAGGGGGGGGGUUGGAAAGCUUCGGCGGUUGGGGAUGGACGGGCGGCUUAUCAGCUUGUGGGUGGGGUAGUGGCUUACCAAGGCUUCGGCGGGUAGCCGGCAUGAGAGGGUGACCAGCCACCUUGGUCCUGCGAUACGGACCAGAGGGCAACGGGAGGCAGUAGUGGAGAACAUUGCACAGUCGGGCGACGCGUGAUGCAGAGAUCCUGGGAGCGGGAAGCCGGCUUACGUGUUGUAAACCGCAUUAGCCUGAGACGAAGCGUGAGUGACGUUAACGGGAAAAGAAGCACCGGCUAACUACGUG